GGAGGAUCCGAGCGUUAUCCGGAUUUAUUGGGUUUAAAGGGUGCGUAGGCGGGAUAGUAAGUCAGUGGUGAAAGCCCGCAGCUCAACUGCGGAACUGCCAUUGAUACUGCUAACCUUGAGUAUGUAUGAUGUGGGCGGAAUGUGCAGUGUAGCGGUGAAAUGCUUAGAUAUUGCACAGAACACCGAUUGCGAAGGCAGCUCACAAAACCAUAACUGACGCUGAGGCACGAAAGCGUGGGGAUCAAACAGGAUUAGAUACCCUGGUAGUCCACGCCUUAAACGUUGAAUACUCGAUGUGUGCGAUAUACUGUACGCGUCUAAGCGAAAGUGAUAAGUAUUCCACCUGGGGAGUACGCUCGCAAGAGUG
This 367-nucleotide ribosomal RNA is filed under the name uncultured organism. RNAcentral's name for it is "bacterial SSU rRNA". It matches the Rfam family "Bacterial small subunit ribosomal RNA", at positions 527 to 896 of the family's 1533-position model. The record is from RNAcentral.